Molecule: ribosomal RNA, 274 nt
Filed under: uncultured bacterium
Lineage: Bacteria
Description: partial 16S ribosomal RNA
Rfam family: Bacterial small subunit ribosomal RNA
Source: RNAcentral
AUACGGAGGGUGCAAGCGUUAAUCGGAAUUACUGGGCGUAAAGCGUACGUAGGCGGUCCGUUAAGUUAGAUGUGAAAGCCCCGGGCUUAACCUGGGAACUGCAUUUAAAACUGGCGGACUAGAGUUGAGUAGAGGGGAGUGGAAUUUCAGGUGUAGCGGUGAAAUGCGUAGAGAUCUGAAGGAACACCAGUGGCGAAGGCGACUCCCUGGACUCGAACUGACGCUGAGGUACGAAAGCGUGGGUAGCAAGCGGGAUUAGAUACCCUAGUAGUCC